UUAAGCGACUAAGCGUACACGGUGGAUGCCCUGGCAGUCAGAGGCGAUGAAGGACGUGCUAAUCUGCGAUAAGCGUCGGUAAGGUGAUAUGAACCGUUAUAACCGGCGAUUUCCGAAUGGGGAAACCCAGUGUGAUUCGUCACACUAUCAUUAACUGAAUCCAUAGGUUAAUGAGGCGAACCGGGGGAACUGAAACAUCUAAGUACCCCGAGGAAAAGAAAUCAACCGAGAUUCCCCCAGUAGCGGCGAGCGAACGGGGAGCAGCCCAGAGCCUGAAUCAGUGUGUGUGUUAGUGGAAGCGUCUGGAAAGGCGCGCGAUACAGGGUGACAGCCCCGUACACAAAAAUGCACAUACUGUGAGCUCGAUGAGUAGGGCGGGACACGUGGUAUCCUGUCUGAAUAUGGGGGGACCAUCCUCCAAGGCUAAAUACUCCUGACUGACCGAUAGUGAACCAGUACCGUGAGGGAAAGGCGAAAAGAACCCCGGCGAGGGGAGUGAAAAAGAACCUGAAACCGUGUACGUACAAGCAGUGGGAGCACGCUUAGGCGUGUGACUGCGUACCUUUUGUAUAAUGGGUCAGCGACUUAUAUUCUGUAGCAAGGUUAACCGAAUAGGGGAGCCGAAGGGAAACCGAGUCUUAACUGGGCGUUAAGUUGCAGGGUAUAGACCCGAAACCCGGUGAUCUAGCCAUGGGCAGGUUGAAGGUUGGGUAACACUAACUGGAGGACCGAACCGACUAAUGUUGAAAAAUUAGCGGAUGACUUGUGGCUGGGGGUGAAAGGCCAAUCAAACCGGGAGAUAGCUGGUUCUCCCCGAAAGCUAUUUAGGUAGCGCCUCGUGAAUUCAUCUCCGGGGGUAGAGCACUGUUUCGGCAAGGGGGUCAUCCCGACUUACCAACCCGAUGCAAACUGCGAAUACCGGAGAAUGUUAUCACGGGAGACACACGGCGGGUGCUAACGUCCGUCGUGAAGAGGGAAACAACCCAGACCGCCAGCUAAGGUCCCAAAGUCAUGGUUAAGUGGGAAACGAUGUGGGAAGGCCCAGACAGCCAGGAUGUUGGCUUAGAAGCAGCCAUCAUUUAAAGAAAGCGUAAUAGCUCACUGGUCGAGUCGGCCUGCGCGGAAGAUGUAACGGGGCUAAACCAUGCACCGAAGCUGCGGCAGCGACGCUGAUGCGUUGUUGGGUAGGGGAGCGUUCUGUAAGCCUGUGAAGGUGUGCUGUGAGGCAUGCUGGAGGUAUCAGAAGUGCGAAUGCUGACAUAAGUAACGAUAAAGCGGGUGAAAAGCCCGCUCGCCGGAAGACCAAGGGUUCCUGUCCAACGUUAAUCGGGGCAGGGUGAGUCGACCCCUAAGGCGAGGCCGAAAGGCGUAGUCGAUGGGAAACAGGUUAAUAUUCCUGUACUUGGUGUUACUGCGAAGGGGGGACGGAGAAGGCUAUGUUGGCCGGGCGACGGUUGUCCCGGUUUAAGCGUGUAGGCUGGUUUUCCAGGCAAAUCCGGAAAAUCAAGGCUGAGGCGUGAUGACGAGGCACUACGGUGCUGAAGCAACAAAUGCCCUGCUUCCAGGAAAAGCCUCUAAGCAUCAGGUAACAUCAAAUCGUACCCCAAACCGACACAGGUGGUCAGGUAGAGAAUACCAAGGCGCUUGAGAGAACUCGGGUGAAGGAACUAGGCAAAAUGGUGCCGUAACUUCGGGAGAAGGCACGCUGAUAUGUAGGUGAAGCGACUUGCUCGUGGAGCUGAAAUCAGUCGAAGAUACCAGCUGGCUGCAACUGUUUAUUAAAAACACAGCACUGUGCAAACACGAAAGUGGACGUAUACGGUGUGACGCCUGCCCGGUGCCGGAAGGUUAAUUGAUGGGGUCAGCGCAAGCGAAGCUCUUGAUCGAAGCCCCGGUAAACGGCGGCCGUAACUAUAACGGUCCUAAGGUAGCGAAAUUCCUUGUCGGGUAAGUUCCGACCUGCACGAAUGGCGUAAUGAUGGCCAGGCUGUCUCCACCCGAGACUCAGUGAAAUUGAACUCGCUGUGAAGAUGCAGUGUACCCGCGGCAAGACGGAAAGACCCCGUGAACCUUUACUAUAGCUUGACACUGAACAUUGAGCCUUGAUGUGUAGGAUAGGUGGGAGGCUUUGAAGUGUGGACGCCAGUCUGCAUGGAGCCGACCUUGAAAUACCACCCUUUAAUGUUUGAUGUUCUAAC
Molecule: ribosomal RNA, 2198 nt
Filed under: Escherichia coli
Lineage: Bacteria; Pseudomonadati; Pseudomonadota; Gammaproteobacteria; Enterobacterales; Enterobacteriaceae
Description: bacterial LSU rRNA
Rfam family: Bacterial large subunit ribosomal RNA
Source: RNAcentral